RNAcentral lists this ribosomal RNA (497 nucleotides) under uncultured bacterium. RNAcentral describes it as "partial 16S ribosomal RNA". It matches the Rfam family "Bacterial small subunit ribosomal RNA", at positions 28 to 523 of the family's 1533-position model. The record is from RNAcentral.
GAUGAACGCUGGCGGCGUGCUUAACACAUGCAAGUCGAACGAAGCACUCUAUUUGAUUUUUUUCGGAAAUGAAGAUUUUGUGACUGAGUGGCGGACGGGUGAGUAACGCGUGGGUAACCUGCCUCAUACAGGGGGAUAACAGUUGGAAACGACUGCUAAUACCGCAUAAGCGCACGGUAUCGCAUGGUACAGUGUGAAAAACUCCGGUGGUAUGAGAUGGACCCGCGUCUGAUUAGCUAGUUGGUGGGGCAACGGCCUACCAAGGCGACGAUCAGUAGCCGACCUGAGAGGGUGACCGGCCACAUUGGGACUGAGACACGGCCCAAACUCCUACGGGAGGCAGCAGUGGGGAAUAUUGCACAAUGGGGGAAACCCUGAUGCAGCGACGCCGCGUGAACGAAGAAGUAUUUCGGUAUGUAAAGUUCUAUCAGCAGGGAAGAUAAUGACGGUACCUGACUAAGAAGCACCGGCUAAAUACGUGCCAGCCGCCCCGUAAA